This 439-nucleotide ribosomal RNA is filed under the name uncultured bacterium. RNAcentral describes it as "partial 16S ribosomal RNA". It matches the Rfam family "Bacterial small subunit ribosomal RNA", at positions 339 to 795 of the family's 1533-position model. The record is from RNAcentral.
CUACGGGGGGCAGCAGUGAGGAAUAUUGCACAAUGGGGGGAACCCUGAUGCAGCAACGCCGCGUGGAGGAUGACGCAUUUCGGUGUGUAAACUCCUUUUAUAUGUCAAGAAAAUGACGGUAGCAUAUGAAUAAGCAACGGCUAACUCCGUGCCAGCAGCCGCGGUAAUACGGAGGGUGCAAGCGUUACUCGGAAUCACUGGGCGUAAAGGACGCGUAGGCGGGUUGGAAAGUCAGGUGUGAAAUCCUACAGCUUAACUGUAGAACUGCACUUGAAACUUCUAAUCUAGAGUAUGGGAGGGGGAGAUGGAAUUAGUGGUGUAGGGGUAAAAUCCGUAGAUAUCACUAGGAAUACCUAAAGCGAAGGCGAUCUCCUGGAACAUUACUGACGCUAAGGCGUGAAAGCGCGGGGAGCAAACAGGAUUAGAUACCCCGGUAGUC